CAAGUCGAGCGAGGCGGCCCGCAAGGGUCAGUCGAGCGGCGAACGGGUGAGUAACGCGUGGAUUAUCUGCCCUGAGGUGGGGAACAACCAGGGGAAACUCUGGCUAAUACCGCAUGAUACCGUGAGGUCAAAGGGGGCUCGCAAGGGCUCUCGCCACAGGAGGAGUCCGCGUUCGAUUAGCUAGUUGGCAGGGUAAUGGCCUACCAAGGCGACGAUCGAUAGCCGGCCUGAGAGGGUGAUCGGCCACACUGGAACUGAGACACGGUCCAGACUCCUACGGGAGGCAGCAGUGGGGAAUUUUGCGCAAUGGGCUAACGCCUGACGCAGCAACGCCGCGUGGAGGAUGAAGGUCUUUGGAUUGUAAACUCCUGUCAGCGGGGAAAAAGCAACCGUACCUCAUACGUGCGGAAGUUGAUUGUACCCGCAGAGGAAGCCCCGGCUAACUCUGUGCCAGCAGCCGCGGUAAUACAGAGGGGGCAAGCGUUAUUCGGAAUUAUUGGGCGUAAAGGGCGCGUAGGCGGCUUGGCAAGUGGAAGGUGAAAUCCCUCGGCUUAACCGAGGAACUGCCCUCCAAACUGCUUUGCUUGAGGCCGGGAGAGGCGAGUGGAAUUCCCAGUGUAGCGGUGAAAUGCGUAGAUAUUGGGAGGAACACCAGUGGCGAAGGCGGCUCGCUGGACCGGUUCUGACGCUGAGGCGCGAAAGCGUGGGGAGCAAACGGGAUUAGAUACCCCGGUAGUCCACGCUGUAAACGAUGAGUGCUUGGUGUAGCGGGUAUCGACCCCUGCUGUGCCGAAGUCAACACAUUAAGCACUCCGCCUGGGGAGUACGGUCGCAAGGCUGAAACUCAAAGGAAUUGACGGGGGCCCGCACAAGCGGUGGAACAUGUGGUUUAAUUCGAACAACCCGAAGAACCUUACCUGGGUUU
RNAcentral lists this ribosomal RNA (925 nucleotides) under uncultured Bacillota bacterium. RNAcentral's name for it is "bacterial SSU rRNA". It matches the Rfam family "Bacterial small subunit ribosomal RNA", at positions 58 to 982 of the family's 1533-position model. The record is from RNAcentral. Lineage: Bacteria; Bacillati; Bacillota.